Molecule: ribosomal RNA, 484 nt
Filed under: uncultured Methanosaeta sp.
Lineage: Archaea; Methanobacteriati; Methanobacteriota; Methanomicrobia; Methanotrichales; Methanotrichaceae
Description: bacterial SSU rRNA
Rfam family: Archaeal small subunit ribosomal RNA
Source: RNAcentral
CUUAAAGGAAUUGACGGGGAGCACCUACACGGGUGGAGCUUGCGGUUUAAUUGGUAUUCAACGCCGGAAAUCUUACCGGGACCGACAGCAAUAUGAAGGCCAGGCUGAAGACUUUGCCGGAUUAGCUGAGAGGUGGUGCAUGGCCGUCGUCAGUUCGUACUGUGAAGCAUCCUGUUAAGUCAGGCAACGAGCGAGACCCACGCCCACAGUUGCCAGCGUACUCUCCGGAGUGACGGGUACACUGUGGGGACCGCCGCUGCUAAAGCGGAGGAAGGAAUGGGCAACGGUAGGUCAGUAUGCCCCGAAUAUCCCGGGCUACACGCGAGCUACAAUGGUUGGUACAAUGGGUAUCUACCCCGAAAGGGGACGGGAAUCUCCUAAAACCAAUCUUAGUUCGGAUUGAGGGCUGCAGCUCGCCCUCAUGAAGCUGGAAUCCGUAGUAAUCGCGUUUCAACAGAACGCGGUGAAUACGUCCCUGCUCCUU